CGUGUUUAAGGGCUAGAGUAUUUACAUUCUUUUAUUCAUUCAUUAAAUCUGUGUUAUGUGUUAGACGAUAAGAUAAUGUCAAUACGUUUGACUAGAGGAGGAUGAACGGAUUAUCUUUAUAAAAAUGAUAUUUGUCGAUUCACUCUAGGCUUUCCAUGAUGUGGUUUGUCAUGUUUGCGCACUGUUUUUGUGUAUCUCUUGUCGUUUAAAUAAAUUCCCCCAUUAUGACGGUGCAGUCUCCC
This 242-nucleotide long non-coding RNA is filed under the name Mytilus galloprovincialis (Mediterranean mussel). The record is from RNAcentral. Lineage: Eukaryota; Metazoa; Mollusca; Bivalvia; Mytilida; Mytilidae.